Molecule: ribosomal RNA, 845 nt
Filed under: uncultured bacterium
Lineage: Bacteria
Description: bacterial SSU rRNA
Rfam family: Bacterial small subunit ribosomal RNA
Source: RNAcentral
AGAGUUUGAUCCUGGCUCAGGAUGAACGCUAGCGGCAGGCUUAAUACAUGCCAUUUCGAGGGGCAGCACGAGUAGCAAUACUUGGUGGCGACCGGCAAACGGGUGCGGAACACGUACGCAACUUUCCCAAAACUGGUGAAUAGCCUUCCGAAAGGGAGAUUAAUACACCGUAAGAUAAUGGAGUGGCAUCACUUUAUUAUUAUAGCUCCGGCGGUUUUGGAUGGGCGUGCGGCUGAUUAGGUAGUUGGCGGGGUAACGGCCCACCAAGCCUGCGAUCAGUAACUGGUGUGAGAGCACGACCAGUCACACGGGCACUGAGACACGGGCCCGACUCCUACGGGAGGCAGCAGUAAGGAAUAUUGGUCAAUGGACGCAAGUCUGAACCAGCCAUGCCGCGUGCAGGAUGAAGGCCCUCUGGGUUGUAAACUGCUUUUAUAGGGGACGAAAAAAGGGCUUUCUAGCUCGUCUGACGGUACCCUAGGAAUAAGCACCGGCUAACUCCGUGCCAGCAGCCGCGGUAAUACGGAGGGUGCAAGCGUUAUCCGGAUUUACUGGGUUUAAAGGGUGCGUAGGUGGGUCGGUAAGUCAGCGGUGAAAUCUUCGAGCUUAACUCGGAAACUGCCAUUGAUACUAUCGAUCUUGAAUCAUCUAGAGGUAAGCGGAAUAUGUCAUGUAGCGGUGAAAUGCUUAGAUAUGACAUAGAACACCAAUUGCGAAGGCAGCUUACUAUGGAUGUAUUGACACUGAGGCACGAAAGCGUGGGGAUCAAACAGGAUUAGAUACCCUGGUAGUUCCACGCCCUUAAACGAUGGAUACCUCCACAUCAGCGAUACCACUGUUGGUGU